UACGGAGGGUGCGAGCGUUGUCCGGAAUCACUGGGCGUAAAGGGCGCGUAGGCGGUCUGAUAAGUAGGGGGUGAAAUCCUGCGGCUUAACCGCAGGGCUGCCUUCUAAACUGUCAGGCUCGAGCACAGUAGAGGCAGGUGGAAUUCCCGGUGUAGCGGUGGAAUGCGUAGAGAUCGGGAAGAACAUCAGUGGCGAAGGCGGCCUGCUGGGCUGUUGCUGACGCUGAGGCGCGACAGCGUGGGGAGCAAACAGG
This 253-nucleotide ribosomal RNA is filed under the name uncultured bacterium. Its description in RNAcentral is "partial 16S ribosomal RNA". It matches the Rfam family "Bacterial small subunit ribosomal RNA", at positions 524 to 776 of the family's 1533-position model. The record is from RNAcentral.